GCUGACUGCGGUUCCCUUCGUGAACGGGGUCCUCUUCUGCAAGGUCCGGCUGCUGGAUGGAGGGGAUUUUGUCAGCUUGUCGUCAAGGAGCUGAAAGGCGGGAAGGCUUAUUCCAAGGUAAGAGGGGCUGUGUGAAGGGGCAGUGGGAUGGAAUGGGGGGUGGCAUGGGACAGGCACAAGGGAAGCCUCCAGCCCCUUUUCUGCCACAAGCAAGAGGCACUCAGCCCUACCUGAGAUGUGUUAUUUUUUAGAAAUAUCUUUAUUGAUGGUCUUUGCACUCAAUAUAAAGGCAGCAUAUGGUUGUUGCAAUAUAAAUGGUACAGAAGUCCACAGAGCAAAAGGGCCAGUUUCUGUCCCCUUUCCUCUCUCCAGGCCUCUUUCUGGGACCCCAUUAUUGGAUAGAUUAAGACCUUUCCAGACCUU
RNAcentral lists this long non-coding RNA (423 nucleotides) under Homo sapiens (human). RNAcentral describes it as "non-protein coding lnc-DPM2-3:2". Lineage: Eukaryota; Metazoa; Chordata; Mammalia; Primates; Hominidae. The record is from RNAcentral.